This 458-nucleotide ribosomal RNA is filed under the name uncultured Erysipelotrichaceae bacterium. RNAcentral describes it as "partial 16S ribosomal RNA". It matches the Rfam family "Bacterial small subunit ribosomal RNA", at positions 341 to 792 of the family's 1533-position model. Lineage: Bacteria; Bacillati; Bacillota; Erysipelotrichia; Erysipelotrichales; Erysipelotrichaceae. The record is from RNAcentral.
ACGGAAGGCAGCAGUAGGGAAUUUUCGGCAAUGGAGGAAACUCUGACCGAGCAACGCCGCGUGAACGAUGAAGGCCUUCGGGUCGUAAAGUUCUUUUAUUUAGGACGAAAGAUGCUAAUAGGGAAUGAUUAGCAAGUGACGGUACUAAUUGAAUAAGUCACGGCUAACUACGUGCCAGCAGCCGCGGUAAUACGUAGGUGGCAAGCGUUAUCCGGAAUUAUUGGGCGUAAAGGGAGAGUAGGCGGUUUGAAAAGUCCAAGGUUAAAAGCAAGUGCUUAACGCUUGUUCGCUUUGGAAACUGACAAACUAGAGUACAGUAGAGGUAAACGGAAUUCCAUGUGUAGCGGUGAAAUGCGUAGAUAUAUGGAGGAACACCGGUGGCGAAGGCGGUUUACUGGGCUGGAACUGACGCUGAGGCUCGAAAGCGUGGGGAGCAAAUAGGAUUAGAUACCCUGGUA